This 252-nucleotide ribosomal RNA is filed under the name uncultured bacterium. RNAcentral's name for it is "partial 16S ribosomal RNA". It matches the Rfam family "Bacterial small subunit ribosomal RNA", at positions 524 to 776 of the family's 1533-position model. The record is from RNAcentral.
UACGGAGGAUGCGAGCGUUAUCCGGAUUUAUUGGGUUUAAAGGGUGCGUAGGUGGUUUAUUAAGUCUGGUGUAAAAGGCAGUGGCUCAACCAUUGUAUGCAUUGGAAACUGGUAGACUUGAAUGCAGGAGAGGAGAGUGGAAUUCCAUGUGUAGCGGUGAAAUGCGUAGAUAUAUGGAGGAACACCGGUGGCGAAAGCGGCUCUCUGGCCUGUAACUGACACUGAGGCUCGAAAGCGUGGGGAGCAAACAGG